GGAGGGUGGACGGCCACAUUGGGACUGAGACACGGCCCAAACUCCUACGGAAGGCAGCAG
This 60-nucleotide ribosomal RNA is filed under the name uncultured bacterium. RNAcentral describes it as "partial 16S ribosomal RNA". The record is from RNAcentral.